This 467-nucleotide ribosomal RNA is filed under the name uncultured bacterium. Its description in RNAcentral is "partial 16S ribosomal RNA". It matches the Rfam family "Bacterial small subunit ribosomal RNA", at positions 28 to 507 of the family's 1533-position model. The record is from RNAcentral.
GACGAACGCUGGCGGCGUGCUUAACACAUGCAAGUCGAACGGAAAGGCCUCUUUCGGGGGGUACUCGAGUGGCGAACGGGUGAGUAACACGUGAGUAACCUGCCCUUGACUUUGGGAUAACUUCAGGAAACUGGGGCUAAUACCGGAUAAGAGCUCCUGCUGCAUGGUGGGGGUUGGAAAGUUUCGGCGGUUGGGGAUGGACUCGCGGCUUAUCAGCUUGUUGGUGGGGCAGUGGCUUACCAAGGCUUUGACGGGUAGCCGGCCUGAGAGGGUGACCGGCCACAUUGGGACUGAGAUACGGCCCAGACUCCUACGGGAGGCAGCAGUGGGGAAUAUUGCACAAUGGGUGGAAGCCUGAUGCAGCAACGCCGGGUGCGGGAUGACGGCCUUCGGGUUGUAAACCGCUUUCGCUCAUGACGAAGCUUUGCGUGACGGUAGUGGGUAAAGAAGCACCGGCUAACUACGUG